This 505-nucleotide ribosomal RNA is filed under the name uncultured bacterium. RNAcentral's name for it is "partial 16S ribosomal RNA". It matches the Rfam family "Bacterial small subunit ribosomal RNA", at positions 28 to 507 of the family's 1533-position model. The record is from RNAcentral.
GACGAACGCUGGCGGCGUGCCUAAUACAUGCAAGUAGAACGCACAGUUUAUACCGUAGCUUGCUACACCAUAGACUGUGAGUUGCGAACGGGUGAGUAACGCGUAGGUAACCUGCCUGGUAGCGGGGGAUAACUAUUGGAAACGAUAGCUAAUACCGCAUAAUAUUAAUUAUUGCGUGAUAAUUAAUUGAAAGGUGCAAUUGCACCACUACCAGAUGGACCUGCGUUGUAUUAGCUAGUAGGUGAGGUAACGGCUCACCUAGGCGACGAUACAUAGCCGACCUGAGAGGGUGAUCGGCCACACUGGGACUGAGACACGGCCCAGACUCCUACGGGAGGCAGCAGUAGGGAAUCUUCGGCAAUGGACGAAAGUCUGACCGAGCAACGCCGCGUGAGUGAAGAAGGUUUUCGGAUCGUAAAGCUCUGUUGUAAGAGAAGAACGGGUGUGAGAGUGGAAAGUUCACACUGUGACGGUAUCUUACCAGAAAGGGACGGCUAACUACGUG